UGGGGAAUAUUGGACAAUGGGCGAAAGCCUGAUCCAGCCAUGCCGCGUGUGUGAAGAAGGUCUUCGGAUUGUAAAGCACUUUAAGUUGGGAGGAAGGGCAGUAAGCGAAUACCUUGCUGUUUUGACGUUACCGACAGAAUAAGCACCGGCUAACUCUGUGCCAGCAGCCGCGGUAAUACAGAGGGUGCAAGCGUUAAUCGGAAUUACUGGGCGUAAAGCGCGCGUAGGUGGUUCGUUAAGUUGGAUGUGAAAGCCCUGGGCUCAACCUGGGAACUGCAUCCAAAACUGGCGAGCUAGAGUAGGGCAGAGGGUGGUGGAAUUUCCUGUGUAGCGGUGAAAUGCGUAGAUAUAGGAAGGAACACCAGUGGCGAAGGCGACCACCUGGGCUCAUACUGACACGGAGGUGCGAAAGCGUGGGGAGCAAACAGG
This 429-nucleotide ribosomal RNA is filed under the name Bacillota bacterium. Its description in RNAcentral is "Firmicutes bacterium partial 16S ribosomal RNA". It matches the Rfam family "Bacterial small subunit ribosomal RNA", at positions 355 to 776 of the family's 1533-position model. Lineage: Bacteria; Bacillati; Bacillota. The record is from RNAcentral.